This 159-nucleotide small RNA is filed under the name Pongo abelii (Sumatran orangutan). RNAcentral describes it as "Metazoan signal recognition particle RNA (ENSPPYG00000030183.1)". The record is from Rfam by way of RNAcentral. Lineage: Eukaryota; Metazoa; Chordata; Mammalia; Primates; Hominidae.
GCCAGGCAUGGUGAUGCAUACCUGUAGUCCCAGCUACCCAGGAGGCUGAGGUGGAAGGAUCACUUGAGCCCAGGAGUUUAAGGAUGCAGUGAGCUAUGACUGUGCCUGAGAAUAGCCACUGCACUCCAGCCUGGGCAACAUACCAAUACCCUGUCUCUA